This is a non-coding RNA of Pelobates cultripes (western spadefoot toad), 3271 nucleotides long. NCBI's taxonomy places the organism in Eukaryota, Metazoa, Chordata, Amphibia, Anura, Pelobatidae. The record is from the annotation of a GenBank genome assembly.
UACAGGCUGAGAGAGUAUUUUGUUCUAACUACAUAUUAUUGGAGUUUUCUAGCUUUUUUCACUUUUAGAUAAAGUCAGGCUGUCAAACAUGGAUUAUAUUUGGCAACCUGGCAGUAUCUAAAAGUGACAUAGCGGUGAUUUCCAACACAGUCCUUAAGGCAUGCCAAAAAGACAUGUUUGGCUAGUAUUUCCAUUGGAAUACUACUAGGAGAUUCCUAAAUCCUGCAUUAUUGUUCCUUAAGGACUGGGUUGGAAACCACUAAAUUUUAAAUCUUGAAAUAUACAGUCUUUAAAAUUAUAAUGUUUAAUUUUCUAGUCGGCAGAGUGGUGGACACCAAAAUCAUCAUUGGAAUUGUAGCUGGAAACAUUUUUAUAUUAAUCCUGAUGGGCGUGGGAAUAUUCUGGUAUAUCAGAAAUGACAAUAAGAAUAAAGUGAAAGGUAAGAAAAUGGCAUAUUUUUACAUUUGUUACAUUUUUUUAAUUAUUAUUUAUUUACGUUGACAUUUUUUACAAAUACGUUUCAGGGAAAACGUUCUGGCACAAUGCGGUUCUUAGUAUACAUAGUAGAUAACAUGGGUUUUGUACAUUUGGUAUAUGUUCAGACAUUGAUUGGUAAUUGAAAGAAUAUACAUAACACUCCCAAGUACAUCAGUCCCAACUGCAUAGUUUUUGCUAUUGAGUUUCAUUUUGUCAACGGUUUUUUUAUUUUUUUUAUUUAAAGAAAACACUCAACACUGUUAAAACGUCAAACUGGUUUACCUAAACCAUAUGACCCCCUCUCAUCUGCGCCUCCCUUUAGGUGUCGUGCACCCACUAUCCUUUACUUUACUUUGUAGUGAGAAAAUCUCCUCAGAAUGUUGGGGUGGGGGACAUUUGUUACAUUUUAAUCCUCAGAGUGAAUGUGUAAUUAAAGCCAUACUUGUAAUCAACUAUUCUGUCUCUGCAUUGAAUGUUAGCUCCCUAUCAACACACUGCAUGUAUAUUUUAUUAGAUAACAUUCACAGCUCAGUUAAGUUUUAAAUAUUACUUAAUCUAUGAAUAUCACAUAUUUAAUGGGGUUAAACAGCAGAUCAAAGCAAAUUGUUGCAUCAAGAUUACAAUGAAUAAAAACAAAAAGACUAGUCUGUUGCACAAAAGUCUGUUUGUUUCACACUUGUCAAUACCAAAUAUACAAAUUAAUAGACACACAAGUUUUUAUGCAAAAUGGGACUUAGUAUAAAUGAUAAACUAGAAUUAUUAAAACUUUUACAUAACACUCACACAAGAUAUAUGCACACAAACACACACACACGCACGCGCACAAACACACACACAUGCAAUUAAAGGACAUAAUUUGAAGUUGGGCUGGGAAAGUUAAAGAUUGCAAAACUUGUAUUAAGGAAGAAUAGACUUUAAAAUGAUGAUUACUAGCAGUAUUUAGCCUGAUGUAGGUAUAUAUUUUAUGAAACAUAUAGCAGCAAAGCAUUUUGCAAAAUAUAAUAUCGUUAAUAAUUGGUGUAAAUCAAAUGCAUGUGUUUCUGUGUUAAUAAGGAAUUAGAAAUAACAACACUGAGCAGAAGACUGAAGUGACAGAAUCAGAAUACCAGGUACAAAAAUGUUUCUUCUUUGGAAAUUCUGUAUGAUUGAGUUCCUUAAUAGUUAAUACUUCCUUGAUGGAAAACAUUGUCAGACAGGCCUGCACACUAGAGAUGUCACGAACCGUUCGCGAACUUCCCGCAAACGGCUCGCCACGGUUCGCCAUGAACCGUUCGUGGCGAGCUCCGGUCAGCUGACACAUCCCGGCCAAACUCCAGCAGACCCUCCCUCCCAGACCCUCCCACCUCCUGGACAGCAUCCAUGUUGAAGGCAGCUUCACGGUUCGCAACAUCUCUACUGCACACCUGUUUAUUAAUCCAACCAUCUAAUCAUCCAUUUGAUGGUGGUAGAAUGAAUGAUAGAAGGAAUAGGAUUUGUGCUGUGAUUGUUGAUACCAGGGGUGGUGAUUUGAGUGAUUCAGAAACUCCUGUAAUCUUCAUGAAUAACAUUUUUAGGGUUUGCUGAGAAUGGUGCAAAAAACAAAGGAUUUGGUAAACGUUAGUUCUAAAGGUGAUUAGUCUUGUAAAUAGAAAAGGUCAGAUGAGGGUGCAGAAAACACUGGUUCAGAUAGACCUGAAGUAACCCAGUAACCCAAAUAGCCACGUUACAACACUGCUAAUUCAGAGGAGCACCUCUGAACACACAAAGGCAUGAACUUUUAACUGCACUGGUCUACUAUCAGCUAAGCACAAUUGGCUACAUUGAACACUGGUGCACCAGAUUUUGACACAGCGUAAGAAUGUCAUCCCCAUUCACCUGAUUCAAUAUAUCUCAUUUUGUACUGCAAGAUAGUAGGGACAACUUUUUGUGACUUUUUUUUAUUUAUUACUGGCAUUUAUAAAGCGCCAACAUAUUCCGCAGCGCUGUACAAUUGUAAGAACAAUACAAUGUAAACAGACCAAUACAAAAGGUAGGUGACCUUGCCCAUGAGCUUACAAUCUAAAGGUAAAAUAGGAAAAGAGGUAGCAAAGGAAAUUGCAGGUGAUGGCAGAGAAGAUUUAUAGUGUGACUGUCGUUAUUAAAAACAUGUGAAGGGAAUGAGGAGGUGAUUGACUGUGCUUGGAAAAAGCCAGAGCAGUCAUGCUACAUAGUUAGAAGGAACCAGGGUGGGUGGGUAGAGCUGAGUAGGAAUGAAGAUUCUUAGUAGCAGGGAUGGAAGAUAAAUUGGGCCUGAGGAAGAAGAAGGAUACACAGUAAUAUAAAGGAAGUUACAGCUAGGAGUGGCAAGCGGGGAGUUGUGGAACAGACUAGCCAUUUGUUGCACAUAUUAAACUAUUUGCCAAUUGAAUCCUAUCAAGCAGAUUAUUAAUUACUACAGGUAACUGCAAGUACAAAUAUUAUAGUAGUAAACUAGAGGUAAAAAUGGUAACAUUUUAAUAGUAAAUUAAUACGUAGUAAAAAGGUGAAAGGAAUCCGGUGAGAUAUCUUCUGAAUCCCAUACCUUAAAGCUUCUGUGUUCAAAUGAAGAUUCUCAUUUGCAGGCAUAACAUAAAUAUAUAGUUAUAUAGCAAUCUAGGUUGAAAAAAUACACAAGUUCAUGGAGUUCAAACUUUAAAAUUCACAUUUUUAGGAAUCUGAUCACAAAGAAGGCAAACAAACCAAACAAGCAAAUUUGAAGCAGUGUCCAAUUACGUCACAAAAAAAGAAACUACUUAGAGGUAAUCAGCUUUUUCUUUCAAUAAAUAACCAAUCAACA